RNAcentral lists this long non-coding RNA (219 nucleotides) under Panax ginseng (ginseng). RNAcentral's name for it is "long non-coding RNA (PGIN_LNC010079)". Lineage: Eukaryota; Viridiplantae; Streptophyta; Magnoliopsida; Apiales; Araliaceae. The record is from RNAcentral.
GAAGUAUAAUAAUUAAAAUCAAGCAAGCAAAGCGGUAUACAUUGAAUUAUGUAUAUUCCAUUAGCGUUUAUGAAGUUAAUAUGCGAGUAUAUGAUUUAGUUUGUAAAUUUGCAAAAUUACAUACGAAUUGGCUAAGGAAGAAAAUUAGUAUGAUAUGACUGAUAUUGUUAAAUAAGGCUAUUGGUACUUGUAUUAUGUAUGAAAAUUAUAAGAUUGCAU